Myotis davidii is the source of this 555-nucleotide long non-coding RNA. RefSeq lists it as uncharacterized. NCBI's taxonomy places the organism in Eukaryota, Metazoa, Chordata, Mammalia, Chiroptera, Vespertilionidae. The transcript has 3 exons. The record is from RefSeq and is a predicted model, not a curated record.
UCUGACAGCAUGUGUAGAUAAACAUUUAGCAACAGUUUAAAACAAAAAUCAUGUAAAUCAGCUUGGUUUUGCAACACAAAGGAAUUUAUAUUUUUAGCAUGGUGGAAGAGAAUUUUCAGAAAUUUAUGUAAUCUUUUUCCUUUGGGUGGUAAGAUUAAUUCUUGUCUCCCGGAGGAAUAUGGAAAAUAAUCAGAUUUUAUGGGCUUAAAUAAUAUUUUUAAAUUGUAAAUGGGAUUUUUUUAUUCACCCAGGCACUAAUUACAACAAGCAUGCACAUUUUGGUGCAUUCAAGAAUGGAAAAUCAGAAUAGCAGCAUUCUUCUGGUGCAGCUCAGUGGAAGAUGAUGACAACCAGAAGACAUGAGCUAAGGGUAAGGGACUGUUCUUCUGAAGAAUCUUUCCAUUUAGUGAUCAAGAUAUGGAAGCUGAAAUCUGAAAAUACUCAGUAUGCAUUCUGAUUGUUUGUAGUAUCAUUUGAAUUGUAACGUGCAUUUUAGCAGCAAUGUUCCCAAUCAACAUAUUGGGAAAAUAUAAUAAAAUAUGCCAGUUGUUACUA